AUGCACGCUGGCGGCGUGCCUCAUACAUGCAAGUCGAGCGAACAGACGAGGAGCUUGCUCCUCUGACGUUAGCGGCGGACGGGUGAGUAACACGUGGAUAACCUACCUAUAAGACUGGGAUAACUUCGGGAAACCGGAGCUAAUACCGGAUAAUAUAUUGAACCGCAUGGUUCAAUAGUGAAAGACGGUUUUGCUGUCACUUAUAGAUGGAUCCGCGCCGCAUUAGCUAGUUGGUAAGGUAACGGCUUACCAAGGCAACGAUGCGUAGCUGACCUGAGAGGGUGAUCGGCCACACUGGAACUGAGACACGGUCCAGACUCCUACGGGAGGCAGCAGUAGGGAAUCUUCCGCAAUGGGCGAAAGCCUGACGGAGCAACGCCGCGUGAGUGAUGAAGGUCUUCGGAUCGUAAAACUCUGUUAUUAGGGAAGAACAAAUGUGUAAGUAACUAUGCACGUCUUGACGGUACCUAAUCAGAAAGCCACGGCUAACUACGUG
Molecule: ribosomal RNA, 496 nt
Filed under: uncultured bacterium
Lineage: Bacteria
Description: partial 16S ribosomal RNA
Rfam family: Bacterial small subunit ribosomal RNA
Source: RNAcentral